CUCAUCAAAGUGGUUAGAGAUC
This 22-nucleotide small nuclear RNA is filed under the name Arabidopsis thaliana (thale cress). RNAcentral describes it as "snRNA_14383". Lineage: Eukaryota; Viridiplantae; Streptophyta; Magnoliopsida; Brassicales; Brassicaceae. The record is from RNAcentral.